RNAcentral lists this signal recognition particle RNA (103 nucleotides) under human gut metagenome. RNAcentral's name for it is "Bacteroidales small SRP". It matches the Rfam family "Bacteroidales small SRP". From Rfam's summary of the family: The non-coding component of the signal recognition particle in Bacteroides The record is from RNAcentral.
AGUCGGGUAAGUCCUGUACGACCAGCUCCCCGAGAAUCCCGCCAGGUCCUGACAGAAGCAACGGUAUCGGGUCGCAGCAGGUGCGAUGCAGGGAGCUUACCCU